This is a long non-coding RNA of Daphnia pulex (common water flea), 509 nucleotides long. RefSeq lists it as uncharacterized. The transcript is spliced from 2 exons. The record is from RefSeq and is a predicted model, not a curated record. Lineage: Eukaryota; Metazoa; Arthropoda; Branchiopoda; Diplostraca; Daphniidae.
UUUCUCGUUUCGUGUCGAUCCUUCUAUUACGGUGGAGCCCGGGCGUCCGCCAUAAGUUAUCGACGCGACGACGCUCAUAUUUCGUCAGUUUGCGCGGCGUCGAGAGGUGCGCUAGCUCCUGCUGCUGCUGAUGCCUCUACCGCUGCUGCUAGCUCAACUCGGCACUUUAGAUGGGGGCCAACCAACACUACUGGACCCCGCCGCCGAUUAGAUAUCCGGAGAGAGAGAGAGAGAGAGAGCAGCCUAUAUGUUAUUAGAACGUUGCAAGCCGCCCGCGUUAGUUUCGGCUCCUCGCCCUGUGUGGUGUACCGGCUGUCUCCGCAUCAUUUUCUACCAAUACGAUUUUUUGUUCCCCCUUUCCAUCAGAGCCAGUCUAUACAUUACGUGAAUAUUACUCCGCACACACUGCAGCCGCCCAAAUAUUAUACAGCACACACAAACACAAGGCGAUUUCUUGCCUAUAUAAAUUGACACGUAUAAGAGCCCAAUAAAAGAAACGCAAGGUCUAA